This 254-nucleotide ribosomal RNA is filed under the name uncultured bacterium. Its description in RNAcentral is "partial 16S ribosomal RNA". It matches the Rfam family "Bacterial small subunit ribosomal RNA", at positions 524 to 776 of the family's 1533-position model. The record is from RNAcentral.
UACGAAGGGGGCUAGCGUUGCUCGGAAUCACUGGGCGUAAAGGGUGCGUAGGCGGGUUUUUAAGUCAGGGGUGAAAUCCUGGAGCUCAACUCCAGAACUGCCUUUGAUACUGAAGAUCUUGAGUCCGGGAGAGGUGAGUGGAACUGCGAGUGUAGAGGUGAAAUUCGUAGAUAUUCGCAAGAACACCAGUGGCGAAGGCGGCUCACUGGCCCGAUACUGACGGCUGAGGCACGAAAGCGUGGGGAGCAAACAGG